AGUGAACGCUGGCGGUAGGCCUAACACAUGCAAGUCGAACGGCAGCACAGUAAGAGCUUGCUCUUACGGGUGGCGAGUGGCGGACGGGUGAGGAAUACAUCGGAAUCUACUUUUUCGUGGGGGAUAACGUAGGGAAACUUACGCUAAUACCGCAUACGACCUACGGGUGAAAGCAGGGGAUCUUCGGACCUUGCGCGAUUGAAUGAGCCGAUGUCGGAUUAGCUAGUUGGCGGGGUAAAGGCCCACCAAGGCGACGAUCCGUAGCUGGUCUGAGAGGAUGGUCAGCCACACUGGAACUGAGACACGCUCCAGACUCCUACGGGAGGCAGCAGUGGGGAAUAUUGGACAAUGGGCGCAAGCCUGAUCCAGCCAUACCGCGUGGGUGAAGAAGGCCUUCGGGUUGUAAAGCCCUUUUUUUGGUAAAGAAAAGCAGCAGGUUAAUACCCCGCUGUUCUGACGGUACCCAAAGAAUAAGCACCGGCUAACUUCGUG
This 492-nucleotide ribosomal RNA is filed under the name uncultured bacterium. RNAcentral describes it as "partial 16S ribosomal RNA". It matches the Rfam family "Bacterial small subunit ribosomal RNA", at positions 29 to 507 of the family's 1533-position model. The record is from RNAcentral.